This 946-nucleotide long non-coding RNA is filed under the name Monodelphis domestica (gray short-tailed opossum). Its description in RNAcentral is "lncRNA (ENSMODG00000049723.1)". The record is from RNAcentral. Lineage: Eukaryota; Metazoa; Chordata; Mammalia; Didelphimorphia; Didelphidae.
UAAAGGGGCUGGAGAUAGAGACAAAUUUUUCCCAAUGCCACCUUUGAGUUCAUUUAGGCCAUCCCUGCCUAAAGGGGUGAAUAUCCAUGUUGAAAGAGGUAGUUUGGAGCUAGCAUACCCACAGGAAGGCACUGAGUAGAAUUUGAUAGGUAAUGGAAACAUGUGAUUGCAUUGGAGCUAAGCCCAGUGAUUUGACUAGUGUAAGCAGGGUAGGAAGCAGUCUUUCUUUCUACUCUCUCAUUAGUUGAUCACAUGCCAUUUGUGAUUAUGUAAUAAUAGUGCCAUUGUGCCCUUAUGAUCAUUCAACAAUCCCAACUGUGGAGUCCACUGGUGUAGACCUAACAUAGAUAGAUGUAGAGAGAGGCUAGUGUCAGGGAACCUAAUAUAAUCUAAAUAUCAGGUAAUAAAAUGAUUUAUUUCUAAAAUUAAAUAAGUAACACAAAUUACUUUGAGAUCUUUGUUAUUUCUUGAUAGGGAAAAUAAUUAUUUUAAAGACAUGGGAUCAUGUUUUUAACAAUUCAUGCUUCUUUUUGAUAUUUACCUGAUAUGAAAAUAAUAAAAAAAUAUUGUUAGUCUUACAUUCCUAAGAACCAUUAUAGUCUUGCUCAUUUUUCAUAGCUAAAAAGCAAAAGCUAUAAAAAUUUUUUAAAUGCACACCAAUUAUGUAAUUUUUGAGUUAUCACUUAAAAAUUGCUUACUUAUUCCAAGCAGCUAUUUGGAAAGGAGAAAGGAGACCCAAAUACAUCUUUAAAGAAAAUGCACAAUAGAAAGGUUCUGCAGUCCUUGUUCCAAAAGAAAUUGAAAAGGGAAGAAAAGAAGAGGAGUUGGAGAAAGAAUGGUUACAAAUCCUCCUGUAUGAUGGCGUAGCACAGUUUGGUGAUGCAUGCUGGAGUCAACUAAAUUCAACCAGAAUUGAGUAAGUAUCUACUACAUUCAAGCCUCUGUC